GGGAGGCAGCAGUGAGGAAUAUUGGUCAAUGGGCGCAAGCCUGACGCCAUCCCGCGUGCAGGAUGACGGCCCUUGGGUUGUAAACUGCUUUUGACGGUAGUGUAUGAAUAAGGGUCGGCUAACUCCGUGCCAGCAGCCGCGGUAAUACGGAGGACCCGAGCGUUAUCCGGAUUCAUUGGGUUUAAAGGGUGCGUAGGCGGCCCGGUCAGUCAGCGGUGAAAUGCCCGCGCUUCACGCGGGAGCUGCCGUUGAUACUGCCGGGCUAGAAUCUUAGCGAGGCGGGCGGAAUGCGCAGUGUAGCGGUGAAAUGCAUAGAUAUUGCGCAGAACGCCGAUUGGGGAGCCAGCUCGCCAGCUGGGUAUUGACGCUGAACGAAAGCGUGGGGAGCAAACAGGAUUAGAUACCCUGGAAGUCCACGCCGUAAACGAUGAUAACUCGCUCUUGGUCCGACACAGUCUGGGGCUUAGCGAAAGGUUUAAAGUUACCACCUGGGGAGUACGAUCGCAAGGUUGAAACUCAAAGGAAUUGACGGGGGCCCGCACAAGCGGAGGAACAUGUGGUUUAAUUCGAUGAUACGCGAGGAACCUUACCUGGGCUUGAAUAAGAUUGUGAAGCAGUGGACGUUUUAACACAGGUGCUGCAUGGUUGUCGUCAGCUCGUGCCGUGAGGUGUCGGGUUAAGUCCCAUAACGAGCGCAACCCUUAUCGUUAGUUGCCAGCGUCAAGCCGGGGACUCUAGCGAGACUGCCACCGUAAGGUGUGAGGAAGGUGGGGAUGACGUCAAAUCAGCACGGCCCUUAUGUCCAGGGCUACACACGUGUUACAAUGGCCGGUACAAAGGGCAGCUACUUCGCGAGAAGAUGCUAAUCUCGAAAAGCGGUCUCAGUUCGGAUCGAAGUCUGCAACCCGACUUCGUGAAGCUGGAUUCGCUAGUAAUCGCAUAUCAGCAUGAUGCGGUGAAUACGUUCCCGGGCCUUGU
This 978-nucleotide ribosomal RNA is filed under the name uncultured bacterium. RNAcentral's name for it is "bacterial SSU rRNA". It matches the Rfam family "Bacterial small subunit ribosomal RNA", at positions 343 to 1384 of the family's 1533-position model. The record is from RNAcentral.